RNAcentral lists this long non-coding RNA (592 nucleotides) under Pan troglodytes (chimpanzee). RNAcentral's name for it is "long non-coding RNA NONPTRT007787". Lineage: Eukaryota; Metazoa; Chordata; Mammalia; Primates; Hominidae. The record is from RNAcentral.
AGCCUAGAUGAUGAUGGCUCACCAAUUUCCUUGCAAGGGCAAGAGCUGAUAAUCAACUGACUAAUGAGGAUUGACUUCUACAAUUGAUGAGCAUGGAAUUGGAUGUGCCUAAAUCAACAGAAGAGGGAUUUUGAUGUCAUCACACUGUAGCCCCAGAAGACAGAACGCUCAAAGGUGUCAAUGGGCAGAAUUUGUAGAUGACAUACAGCAUCCAAUGGAUUACUCCUAUUCAGUAUUCCUUAGAGCAAAGGAUGCAAUGUCAAGCAAGUUGUGAUACCUCAACUAUCUACAAUUUAACACCAAGGAAAGAACACUGUUUGGAGAAAUGAGAAAGAUUAUCAUCAGUGUCUUUCAGAAGUCAUCAAAGGAAGAAAAGGAGAAAAGAGAGGAGAAAGCAGAAAGAUCUGGAGUCUGGGAAGUUCAAGAGCAUGGCACCAACAUCUGGCAAGGGCUUUCAUGCUGCAUCAUCUCAUGGAGGAAAAUAAAAGGGCAAGAUUGUUUCCACAAUUUGUCAUACAUGGAUAUUUAGAACAUACUUUAGAAGUGGAGGAAAGAAUAAAAUAAUUUGAAGAUGGAGUACCCAAAAGCUGUG